UACAGAGGUCCCAAGCGUUGUUCGGAUUCACUGGGCGUAAAGGGUGCGUAGGUGGUGAGGUAAGUCGGAUGUGAAAUCUCGGAGCUCAACUCCGAAACUGCAUUGGAAACUACCUCGCUCGAGGGUUGGAGGGGGGACUGGAAUACUUGGUGUAGCAGUGAAAUGCGUAGAUAUCAAGUGGAACACCAGUGGCGAAGGCGAGUCCCUGGACAACUCCUGACACUGAGGCACGAAAGCUAGGGGAGCGAACAGG
RNAcentral lists this ribosomal RNA (253 nucleotides) under uncultured bacterium. Its description in RNAcentral is "partial 16S ribosomal RNA". It matches the Rfam family "Bacterial small subunit ribosomal RNA", at positions 524 to 776 of the family's 1533-position model. The record is from RNAcentral.